Molecule: ribosomal RNA, 433 nt
Filed under: uncultured bacterium
Lineage: Bacteria
Description: bacterial SSU rRNA
Rfam family: Bacterial small subunit ribosomal RNA
Source: RNAcentral
AGGCAGCAGUGGGGAAUAUUGCGCAAUGAGCGAAAGCCUGACGCAGCCACGCCGCGUGUGUGAUGAAGGCCCUCGGGUCGUAAAGCACUGUCGGGGGGAAAGAAGUUCUGACGGUACCCCCCAAGAAAGCACCGGCUAACUCCGUGCCAGCAGCCGCGGUAAUACGGAGGGUGCGAGCGUUGCUCGGAAUCACUGGGCGUAAAGCGUACGCAGGUGGUUUGUUAAGUCGGGUGUGAAAUCCCGGAGCUCAACUCCGGAACUGCGCCCGAUACUGGCAGACUUGAGUACGGGAGAGGGAAGCGGAAUUCCUGGUGUAGAGGUGAAAUUCGUAGAUAUCAGGAGGAACACCAGUGGCGAAAGCGGCUUCCUGGCCCGAUACUGACACUCAUGUACGAAAGCNGUGGGUAGCAAACAGGAUUAGAUACCCUGGUAG